GAUGAACGCUGGCGGCGUGCCUAAUACAUGCAAGUCGAGCGAACAGACGAGGAGCUUGCUCCUCUGACGUUAGCGGCGGACGGGUGAGUAACACGUGGAUAACCUACCUAUAAGACUGGGAUAACUUCGGGAAACCGGAGCUAAUACCGGAUAAUAUAUUGAACCGCAUGGUUCAAUAGUGAAAGACGGUUUUGCUGUCACUUAUAGAUGGAUCCGCGCCGCAUUAGUUAGUUGGUAAGGUAACGGCUUACCAAGGCAACGAUGCGUAGCCGACCUGAGAGGGUGAUCGGCCACACUGGAACUGAGACACGGUCCAGACUCCUACGGGAGGCAGCAGUAGGGAAUCUUCCGCAAUGGGCGAAAGCCUGACGGAGCAACGCCGCGUGAGUGAUGAAGGUCUUCGGAUCGUAAAACUCUGUUAUUAGGGAAGAACAAAUGUGUAAGUAACUAUGCACGUCUUGACGGUACAUAAUCAGAAAGCCACGGCUAACUACGUG
RNAcentral lists this ribosomal RNA (497 nucleotides) under uncultured bacterium. Its description in RNAcentral is "partial 16S ribosomal RNA". It matches the Rfam family "Bacterial small subunit ribosomal RNA", at positions 28 to 507 of the family's 1533-position model. The record is from RNAcentral.